UACGGAGGGUGCAAGCGUUGCUCGGAAUUACUGGGCGUAAAGCGCGUGUAGGCGGUUUCGUGUGUCUGAUGUGAAAUCCCCGGGCUCAACCCGGGAAGUGCAUUGGAAACUGCGAGACUAGAGUCCCGGAGAGGAAGGUGGAAUUCCAGGUGUAGCGGUGAAAUGCGCAGAUAUCAGGAGGAACACCGGUGGCGAAGGCGGGUCUCUGGGCCGAUACUGACGCUGAGGAGCGAAAGCGUGGGGAGCGAACAGG
Molecule: ribosomal RNA, 253 nt
Filed under: uncultured bacterium
Lineage: Bacteria
Description: partial 16S ribosomal RNA
Rfam family: Bacterial small subunit ribosomal RNA
Source: RNAcentral